CCUCCGGGGCGGCCCCCGGGAGGAGAGCACCAUCCGCUCCACCCGCGCCACCCACGCCAUCCGCGCGCCACCCCUGCCAGGCGGCCACGUAAAGGACCAUGGGGACGCUUACUGCCCAGGGACUGUGGCGGGGGGCGCAAACGGGACUGCCUGGGCCCCUCCAUUUUAGGCCUCUGAGGAGGGCCCACGGUUCUGCAUCCCAUACCACACAAAACAAAAAACAAAACAAAAAAACUUUACAGCCUAGUCAUUUUCCGCGGAAUCCAGAGAAUCACCAGAGUCUGGCAAACCUGUUGCCUACGAUUAGCCAGAAAGAGGGAAAACCCGAAAGAGUGGGUGCUACCGCAGGAUUUACCAGGCCCUGUGCAGGAAGAUAGGCACCGACAGGUUGGAAUGGGGGCUAGUGGGUGUAACUCUUUUGUGGAAAUAGGGAAUACGCCAUGGCACACCUGCUGCGUAGCCAAGCUUGGAAACUAAAAAGGAGCUUCCUGAGAUGUAACCUGAACCCUGAAUGGAAUGGCAGAGGAUUGGCCUGCUUCUUCCAUCCUCCCUGUCUGCCCAGCAGCACCUGCGAUGACACUCGUGUGACCCAGAAGCCCAUCUUCCAGCCAUGAGCAGCCUGGCAGCCGUGUGCCACAGGAUCUGAGGAAGCCUUGGUCUUCUUGGUGAUGGCUCCCUUCUCUGAUCAUUUCAAGAUGGAUCCCUAUGUAGAGAUGCCUGCCUCUGUUCCUGAGCAGCCCGGGGAGCAGCUGAGUGAAGAACCUGCCUAGAAGAGGAAGGGCCUUUCUGGUAGAGGCUUAGAGAGUGGUGGUGUGGCUCAGGUCUUCUGGCCCCGCCACAGAAAAGAUGCCAGUGUACCUCAGGCACUGAUAUCUCCUAGCAACACUGUGAGGGAGGCGUAUUCUCUCAUCUCAUGAACACAAUGGGCAUCAAGGACCGGGCUGGGAUUUGCCCUUGUUACACACAGAAGAGGGGGAAACUCAGUCUGCCCUGGACCUGCAUUCCCCAACCCCUUCUGCAGUCUUCUUGAUGACCUGGGAGGAAGCUGGGGUGGGGAGGGAGUAGAGAGCUGCCAGGGGACCUAGGGAGAAAGAGAGGCUGUGGGUUAGGGAAGCUGGGCAUCUGCCUUUCUGUGGAGUGUGCUAUGGAAAGAAAUCAUGUUGAAGACAGGAAUAGCUGUGGUGGAGGACCUAGUAAUAGAAUCUCAACUCCCUGGUAAGCCACUUACUCUCAACAGAGCCAAAUAUCCCACCUCCCUAGAGCUUACUAUGGGCUCCUGAGCAGUUCUGUGAUGCAGACCUCUCAGCUGGUGAUGAUGGCAUUGUGGUUCCUAGGUUCUGGCUGCUACCAGGAGAGUGAAGAUCUUGAGAGCCUUGGCACCACCCCGUUUCUGUGUGCUCAGCCUUAGAAGCUCCAUCCCUGGAAUCACAUGGGGAAAUAUCAUACAGAUGGGUUUAGGACAGUACAGGGGACUUUGGGUGGGGUGCCCAAAUGGCUGGGAAUGACUGAAGGGACACCCAUCUCCUAUUUCCCUCAGUUCUUCUGGCACUGAUAGCUCGAGGUCCAUGUAUCCGGUUCUUGGGAUGGAAACCUUCAAGACACUAAGUGGCCCCAGGGACAGAGUGGCCUCAGUGUCCACUAAGAGUCAAGGACCAGAGGAAGAUCUCCAUAUCUCUCACUUCAGAAUGCACGAUUAAGGAGGAGCUUCACAGGUUUACUGGCCUUACUUUAGAAGAAGGACCUUGACCUACUGGAGAAAUGAGUAUGGAGACAGAGGCCCUGCCUUCUUAGACCUCCUGCUCCAGGAAGCCCCUCCCUGAUCAUGUCCAGGCAUGGGCUACGGUGUGAGGUCAGAGGCACUGACAAUGGACUGGACUCUGGGCCAGGAGAUGGGGGUAGAACUAGGACUCUGCUUUGUGUGUCUCAUUCUGACCCUGAGUAGUUUGUGAGCCUCUGUUUUCCAUGCCCCCUUGGCUACCUUUCUUCCUCCAGGAUGGCCUGGCUGUGUGAUGGGGUCAUGAUGCACUUUAUCUCCUUGCUGUCUGUACUGCAGGCAGCGGAGCGUCAAUCAGCUCAGAGACUGGACUUGGAUGGCCACAUACUUCCAUGUGUGAUGAACUCUUCACUGUCAGUGCCGUCUGGUCAGAGAUGUCGUUUCUGAUGUUGCCACAUGUUGUUGUCUCUCAGAGUUAAAAGAAAAUCCUCCAGUCAGUACACCAAAUACAGCCUGGAUGCCUCCUGUUUUUCUCAGGGUCUGGACUCAAUGUGUUUAAUUCAAGUUGAGCCUGAAGAGAAAGGGGAAAUGCAAGAAUGUUCUGUAGGCCACUCUGUGCAACCCAGAGAUUCAUCUGCAGGAGCAGGGGGUAAAGUCCUUACUGCUGUCUUCCCGGGAGCAUGCGAGGAACCCGUGACAAAAUGAACCACCUGCCACAAGCUGGAGCUGGAUCCUGCUUUUCUCUCAUGACUUUACCUCUGUUCUCUCAGAACUCCAUUCUGAGGGGUUACCAGAGAAACCAGGAGCCCCCAGGCUGAGGCUGGAAAUUGGAACAGGAAGUAUCCACAUCAUCUCAUAACAAUCUACAACUCCAGUCCCAGGGGAUCCGGCGUUCUCUUCUGCCUCUUCUUGGACCAAGAGUGCCCUUGCUGCUUCGAACACAUACUCAGGCUAAUCACAGAAAAUUAUUUUGAGGAGCGGGCAAUUUUUACUAAUAGAGAAGAGUAGAGAUUAUGCAUAUGAUAUGGUUGGAGAGCUGAAUACUGGAAAGAGGUUCUGGUGAAGGUGGGAUCCCAAAUAGGUUUCGAGGAGGAUCUGGGGAAGUUUGGAGUCUGGGGGAGAGCAGAUGAAGUCAAGGGCAGCUUAAGAUGUGAUGUGAGGGUAACGAAUCAGAGAGGGAUGAAGGAAAUGGGGAAGCUAAAAGCAGAUAAUUUGGAGCGUUGUUGAAGGCUAUUAGGGGCCUGAGAAAAAGGCAAGGUACGUGCUGCAGACAGGUUUAUUAGUCAGGGAGAACAGAAACUAGGCUUGGUUGGCCAAGAAGAAAACAGAUGGGUGCAGUAGAAGUCUGAGGUUGCCAGGAUCAGAACAUGGAUGGAGGUUCGGGGUGGUCAUAGUUAUCUGGGAAGGAGGGCAAGGUGUCCACUGGUAGAUCCAGAGGUGGUCGAAGGACACCAAGUCUAGGCAAGAGGACAGGAGUUUGAGGGUGAAAGUAAGGGGCUCCAGUAGGUCCCAAGAGCCAUGGAGAGAUGAGCAGACCAUGUGGCAGAUGUCAGGAGUGUUCCAGACUUGGUAGGAAGGAUAAAUGCUCCUGAGGAGAGGAGGAGGCUCAGGGGAAGCAGAAGAAUGAUGAGGAUAUGUGACUAGAAGAGGAGGGGGAGGAAAUGCCUCUGGAACAGGUCAGGAGAAGGAUGGGAAGAAGGGCAGGGUACGCAGUAGGAAAGCAGGAGACAAAGGGGAAUGCAGGAUGGACAGGGAGUUGGGAGAUGUCAGGAGGAGGGGCAGAAGGUUGGAAGUGAUGGCAGAAGUCCGGAAGAUUGGAAAUGCUGGGUCUAGAAGAAUGACGCUGGAGAGAGGAAAGCAGUUUUUCAGCGGGUGAGAAGGCUGGGCUGAAGUUCUUGGAGAUAAAGACACUGCAUUCCAAUUCUGGGGCAUCUAGAAAUGUCUGCUACAAGGCCAAAAAACAAAAAAAAAAAAUCCAGUGGAAGCUUAGAAUGGAGGGCAGACAGAAAGAGAAGACGUCAAUCGGCAAAGAGCAGGAUAUCUAGAUGAGUAAAGGCCAGCAUCUGUGUUAAAAUGUCAGCAUGUCACAUAAGAGAGAAAAUGCCUGGGGAAAAAGGCAGGAAGCUUAGGACUCUUGGGUUGGAGACUGUGGUAAGGCAGAAAUCUAGGUAUCAUGGCUGAGUAAAGUGAGUGCAAAGGAGGGAGGAAGUCUGGGGAGGAUGGCAAGACUCUGAUCUAGAUGGCAGGAGGUGGGGGGGCGUGCCUAGGCAGGGGAAGACAAGAUAUUGAAAGGGAGGACUGCGGGCUAGGAAGAUGACAGGAUGGCCAGGCUCGGCAUAGGCCCCUGCAGUUGAGGACAAAUGUUUGGGAUCAUAGGUGUCUGUGUCGAAGGGCAGGUUCUUGACAGUAGCAUGGAUGCCUGUGUGGAAAUUCAGUGACUACCGUGUAGGGCCCGGGUCUGCCCCUGCUCCUGGGGUGCAUCUUGAGGACUGAUCUCCUUUCGAAUGACCCAGGUCUCUUCUGUGUUCUUUCAGUCUCCAGGCCCUUGCCCGACUCGCGGAUGGUACAGUGGCGCCCGAACUGUACCGAGGGGGUAACACAAAAUCGGGUGUUACACUGUGUCGCAGGGCACAGUGGUCCUGAGGAGGACGGGACACUCACCAGGAGCACCACAGACUGGGAAGAAAGGCAGAGAGACAUGAAGUUAUGAGGGCAGAAGGGCAGGGACUAUAGAGAAGAAAAUAUCGUGAAACUGUAGGAGGCUAAGGAAGGGCAGAGUGCGGGACAGGAGGGUUGCAUGCUUGGGAGGACAGCAGGAGUCUGAGACUGCAGGAGAGAGGCGGUCAAGGGGACAAACAUGACUAAUAUUGUGGAAUUGCAGUCUUGUACAAAGGGUAGGAGUUCGAGAAGAAAGCAAGAUGCAUGGUGCAGAGAGGAUCAUGAACCAGGGUGGUGGACACUAUGUGGGUAAGAAAAAAAAGAUAUGAGAUAGAGUUAAGGGUGCCUGUGUACAGGAAGAGUCAAAGUCUGGGAUGGGCAGGAAGCCAGGGAAGGGGGAAGAAUGCUCUCUUCCCCCACACAGAGGGGAGUGGCCCAUAGAUUGGGUAAGGUGACUGGAAGGGGCAGAAAGUUACACAGGACAGGAGUAUGUGCAGGUGAUCAGGAUGCCACAUGGGGAGAGAGGCCACAAGGAGAGUGAAGAUGCAUGCAGGAGGAUGACGGGGAUGAUCGGAGGCCUGAGUUAGGCAGGAGGCUGAGGGGACAAGGGUGAACAGUGGAGAAGAAGACGCGUCAGGGAGGGCUUAUAAAGGCUCAUAGAAAAGUGGGAGCCUGCUGCAGGAAAGUGGGCUAACAAAUAGACAUGCGCACCUUCAGUUAGCCUGGGAGACUCUUGAGCUGGGUGUCUGUCUCAGCACCCAGGAGCUGCCUGCUCCUGCACAGGCCCGCAGUUUGAUGUCAGACAGGCACAUGGGGCGCACAACGGUCUGCAACUCCAUCCACAGGGCAACUCAAACACUCUUCUGGCCUAUCCUGGGACCAGGGAUACAGUUGCUGCUUAGAACAAAUACACAGGCAUUCACAGAAAAUGUGUAAUGAUUCUCAAGGCAGGGAGUUUUACUAAUAGGGAAGAGUUUAGCCUACCCAUGUGAUAGGUCAAGAACUGGGUACUGGAGGGAGGGUCUGGUGAGGGUGGGCCUCUAAAUAGGGUUUAGAGGAGGAUCUGGGGUGCAUAGGAGACUUGGACAGAAGGGAGGAAGUCAAGGACAGCUUAGGAUCCAAUGCUAGUGUAAUGGACCCAGCUUAUGGGGGAGGGAAGGUGCCUGAGGGUAGAUGGGUUUCCGCUCAAAUCAUGGAUUUUAGGUGCCUGAGUGGGCAAAAAUAUCUGUGGAGAAGUGUAAGAUGCCUGCAGUUAGGUCCAGAAUCUGGAGGGGUGCAAAGUCUGCUCAAGAGGGCAGGAGGCUCAGGGGGAAGGUAAUAGGCCUCAGGGGGGGAGGCCACUGGGAAAUAUGUUAGGAGCAUUAGAGGCUGGGCAUGAGGGCCCAGUGCUCCCGCGAAGGAUGUGCAGCUCUGGGAAGGCAGAAGGGUGGUGAGUAUAGAGUUCUACAAGGGGAGAGAAUGAGGAUGGGAAAAGCAGAAUCCUGGGGAGCUGGCUAGGAACGUGUGGGGGAGGGCAUAAGGCACAGUGGAACUGCAAGACACUAAGGCAGAAUGCCUGAGGGAAGGAGGGCUGAGCAAAUUGGGGGAGGGGCAGGAGUUUGGAAGUGAUGGCAGAAGUCGGGAAGGUUGAAAUGCUGGUGGUGUGGGGACAGGAUGUGAAAGAUGGGGUAGUUUGUUUAAGGCAUAUGAGGAGGCUGGGAGGAGGGAAGUACAUUUCUGGGGGAAGAUUAGGGCUCUGGGUUCUAAAAGCAGUUCCGGGAUGCUUAGGAAUCUGUGUGCCAGACAAGGAGGAUCGGUUGAGACUGUAGGCAGGCGUAUGGAGGGUGGGAAGAGAGGUCAGUUGAUUAGGACAAUGUAGCUGUCCAGGGGAAGGCCAACUUCUGGGUUGAAAUGGUGGAGACUUGGGGCAAGAGGACAAAUGACUGGAGAGGAGGAGGAAAGGAAAAGGACUCGGGUCAAAGGCUAAGAUAAAUUCAGAAUCUAGGUGUCAGGGUUCUGAAUGGCGACAUUAAAGGAGGGAAGUCUUGGGAGGCUGGCAAGGCUCUGUGCAGGACAGGAACCUCAGAGUAAGUCAGGAAUGUGAGAGAGAUAGUGCUAGGCUAGACGAUGACCGAAGGAGCAUAGGUCCUUGAGAUGAAGGGCAAGUUUCUGAGAGCUUAGGGGUCCAUGUGGAAGAGCAGACUGAUCACAGGAGCUCAAAAACCUGAGAAGAGGUUCAGAGCUCUUCACGGGCAUAGUGCUGCUGCUGAGGGCAGGACACGCAACAGGAGGACAAAAGACUGGGGUGAGGUAAAAGACUGGCUUGAGGUUCAGGGAGAAGAAAUGGCUAGGAGCACAGAGGAGGAAGAGGCUACAGAGGACAAGAGACAUGGGACAGCCGGCUAAGGGAAGGGGGCUGGAGAGGAGAGCCACGUGUGACAGUUUAUAAGGACAGGGCAGCAGCAGAGAGAAGGAUCAAGGGGUUCUGAAAGAAGGAGGCCAUUGUAGUUCUCAAGUUUGACCUGAGUCUAGGGGAAAGGAGGAUUAGGGUUGCCUGAGGGCAACAGGGCAUCAUAGCAACCUGGGCUGGGGGGAGUCAAAUGCUUAGCUUCGGAGCCAGGCAGGUAGGCACAGAGGGUUGGGAAGUGGCUUUGAUGAAGGGCAGAACUGCAGGGGAGGACACAAGCCUAGGAAGGAGGACAGAAAUCUGUUGUAGGUCAACAGGAGGUAGAAUAUGAAAGUCAAGGAGGAACGCCCGGCCGUGGUGGCACACGCCUUUAAUCCCAGCACUUGGGAGGCAGAGGCAGGCCGGUCUCUGUGAGUUCGAGGCUAGCCUGGUCUACAGCUAGUUCCAGGACAG
This is a non-coding RNA of Myodes glareolus (Bank vole), 7211 nucleotides long. The record is from RefSeq and is a predicted model, not a curated record. Lineage: Eukaryota; Metazoa; Chordata; Mammalia; Rodentia; Cricetidae.